AACAGUUUUUAUUGACAAAGGUCUAAGUCAUAGUGAAAAUUAUACAUUUAUUUUCAGAGCAUAAACAUUGUUUUGCACAUUAAAGAUUUAUACAAUUGAUUGUUGAUACAUGUUAAUUUUGCAAUUGUGAUAAAUUUGUUUUUUUAUAUCAUUCAAUGACUAUUUGCAUUCUACAAAAUGCAAUAUUUGCCUCACAUUAUUUGAAUGUUUCGGUUGUUUCGAUGUUUAUAAUUUGUUCAGAAUUUUAUAGGAAUAAAAUUGACAGUAUAACAAGUUUACAAUGUUUUGGCAUUUACUUCUGACAGUCUUUUCUAAUACAAGAGGGAAGCCAAACGUUCAAUUUAGGAUUAAAUUUAAUUUUAAUAUCUGAUAUUUGCUCAACCAUAGCCCCAAAACUCAAUUUGUAAUUGAUUUUCUUUUAAACAGCUAGUAUAUAAUCAAAAUUUCAAAGAUUUUCACCCAUCCCUCUAUCAUGUUAUUAAUAUUUGGUAUUUGUAGAAAAGCUGGCAUCAGUUCUGUGAACUAAAUUGUCUGAAAGAAACUGAUUAUAAAACAGGUCUUUGCUGAGACAGACUUUGAUGGCUUUCUGUGUAAGACUAUAGCCUGACCCGUACAGAUGGCAUAUCAGUUCUGAAAAGUUUGAAAAUUUUAUAAGCUGGAAGUCCUGGCCAAGUCUUCUGCAACUUUUGAACAUGGACUAUUCAUAUCUUGUAUACUUUAUACAAUGAACUGAUGAAAAUAACCUGAAAGAAUAACAAACUGAUUAUAAAAAUACACAAAAAACAACCGAAGCAGGCCAGUAAAAAAAAAAAAAAAAAAAAAUACCUACCUACCGACCCUAAUUUUUUGGGGCAUGCAACAGGAAACACACCUAUUUUUUUUUUUGGCCUUAUUGCCAAAAACUAGACUUUUUCAGAUAUUGUCUCUUAUGCAU
RNAcentral lists this long non-coding RNA (934 nucleotides) under Mytilus galloprovincialis (Mediterranean mussel). The record is from RNAcentral. Lineage: Eukaryota; Metazoa; Mollusca; Bivalvia; Mytilida; Mytilidae.